This is a small nuclear RNA of Choloepus hoffmanni (Hoffmann's two-fingered sloth), 107 nucleotides long. Lineage: Eukaryota; Metazoa; Chordata; Mammalia; Pilosa; Megalonychidae. The record is from Ensembl.
AAGCUCAUUUCAGCAGCACAUAAAUGAAAAUUGGAAUGAUACAGAGAAAAUUAGCAUGGCCCCUGCAGAAAGAUGACAUGCAAAUUCAUGAAGCAUUCCAUAUUUUA